CCCUGGUUAGUUCAGUUGUAAGAGCGCUUCACUGGAAAUGGAGAAGCUCCGGGGUCGAUGUCCGGACCAGGCG
This 73-nucleotide transfer RNA is filed under the name Ixodes scapularis (black-legged tick). It matches the Rfam family "tRNA". From Rfam's summary of the family: Transfer RNA (tRNA) molecules are approximately 80 nucleotides in length. Their secondary structure includes four short double-helical elements and three loops (D, anti-codon, and T loops). Further hydrogen bonds mediate the characteristic L-shaped molecular structure. tRNAs have two regions of fundamental functional importance: the anti-codon, which is responsible for specific mRNA codon recognition, and the 3' end, to which the tRNAs corresponding amino acid is attached (by aminoacyl-tRNA synthetases). tRNAs cope with the degeneracy of the genetic code in two manners: having more than one tRNA (with a specific anti-codon) for a particular amino acid; and 'wobble' base-pairing, i.e. permitting non-standard base-pairing at the 3rd anti-codon position. Lineage: Eukaryota; Metazoa; Arthropoda; Arachnida; Ixodida; Ixodidae. The record is from Rfam by way of RNAcentral.